UAGACAUUGGGUAAAUUAAAAAUCUGAGAUGGAUUCCACGAGUUCAGUCGGUGUGCCAUCUAGUACAUGCCCAAAUGUAGGCAGCAAUGAUGAAAUCCCGGAUGGUGGUUGUGGCUCAGCAAAUAUAGACCAAGAAAUAGAAGAACCAUGUGUAUGGAUGAAGUUUGGAUCAGAGGAUGAUGCCUAUGACUACUUUAAGUCUUAUGCAUUGACCAAAGGUUUUUGUAUUCGCAGGGAGAGCACUCAUAACAAGAAAGGUAAACGGAUCGAUAGGGUUUAUGUUUACUCGAAGGAAGGGUUUAAACCAAAAAAACCUAAUAAAAGUGGAAGGUUACCUUGAGUUAUGGUGUGGGUGCAAGGUUAGGCUGUGCAUAAGUAACCAAAAAGACGAUGCAUAGAAAGUGACUAGCGUCGAGCUAGAUCAUAAUCACGAUCUAGUUACUCCAAAAAAAUCUUGUAUAAUUCGCACACACCGAUCAUUGUUGAGUGCUACAAAGUCCUUGAUACAUUCAAUGAGCUCAGCAAUGGUUAAGCCCAUACAUAUUCAUGAUAUAUUCAUAGAGCAGGCUGGAGGGAUCGAUAAUGUCCCUUGUAUACAAAAGGAUAUCCAAAAUCAAAUAGCAAGCGGUAAAAGAAAACUUAAAGGAGAAGAUGGCAAUUUAAUUUUGUAAUGGCUCUAUAGAAAGAAUCAAUCGAACCCAUCAUUUUUAUAUAGAUUGAGAUGUGAUGAUGAGGAUCACAUUCAUAAUAUCUUAUGGGUAGAUUCUACAUCUAGAGUUUCCUACUAGUGCUUUUCUGAUAUGGUUACCUUUGAUACCACAUAUAAGACAAAUACGUUUGGUAUGCCCUUUGCACCUAUACUUGGUGUAAAUCACCAUUUAGUACAACUAUCUUUGGAUUUGCACUCAUAUUUGACACGAAAAUAGAAUCAUCUAUAUGGGUAUUUGAAAACUGGUUGAAAGCCAUGGGUGGAGGGCAACAAGGCGUUAUUCUCACUGAUCAAGAUCCUGCAAUUUCAUAUGCAGUUAGACAAGUUUUUUUCCAAAGUAAGCAUUAUUAUUGUAAGUGGCACAUAUUUGCAAAGAUCAAAGAAAAAUUGUCAUGUCUUGCAUAUGCAUCCUUCUUUUUCAGAUACCUUUAUGAGGUGUGUGGCUAGCCCAACAAUUGAAGAAUUUGAAUCAGGAUGGAAAUCAAUGGUUGAGAAUUAUCAGUUGGAAGACAAUGAAUGGCUAAGCAAGCUUUAUAGUUAUUGAAUGUAAUGGGUUGAUGCUUACUUGGCUGACACGUUUACAGCGGGUAUGACCUCUACUCAAAGGAGUGAAGGAAUGAAUUCACACUUCAAAAUGUACUUGACACCUACAACAAGCUUACAUACAUUAUUAGAAGUUGUUGCAAAAGUCCAAGAUAAGAUGGUACGAAAAGAGAGGGAAAAUGACUCGAAAGAUAUUCAAACUACUCCAGUCUUACAAACAACCACUUUCAUUGAGUCACAAGCAUAAAAAAUCUAUACUCCAAAUAUUUUAAAGAUAUUUGGGAAGAGGUGGCUAAUUGCUUUAAUUUUACUAGGGAGACAGUUGAAGACAAUGGACAGGUUGCUACCUUUAAGGUGGGAGUCUCAGGGAUGGGAUCUAGACCCUACUUAGUGAAAUUCAAUUACCGUGACAAUUCGGUUUCUUGCAGUUGUCACUUCUUUGAGAGGAUGGGCCUUCUUUGCAGGCAUGUACUGAAGAUUUUUAUGGUGAAAGAUGUUUUUGAAAUCCCUCCAUAAUAUAUAAUGAGGUGUUGGAUCAAGGAUGUAAAAAAGGGAGUUUUUGUUGAUGACAUUGGGGAACAAAUUCAGGUAACUUCUGAACUACCACGCUCCAUUAGAUUUAAUGAGGCUAUGCAAGCAAGUAAUCCCUUGCCGAGCAUGUUUCACAUAGUGUUGAGGGACACAAGUUUAUAAUGUCCAUAAUACAAAAUGGAAUUUGUCAGUUUGAUGAAAAGAUUGUAUGCAAGAGAGGUCCACAGGAUAAUGCCAUGAGCCAUGUCAAUGAAGAUGAGAAUUUACUUAGUUGUAGUAACACACCAAGUGGACGUAACCAUUGUCGCGAUGUCCUUGAGCCUCCACGAGCAUGGAUAAAGAGACGAUCGACCACUAAAAAAUUGAAAGCUCGUUCUGAGGGAUGGAGCCGAAGACAAAAAAAAGGAAAUGCACAGUCUGCAAUGGUAGCGCGGACAUGAUAAAAGGAACUGCCCGUCAUUCGUUUGUGAUAGGGCUAAGGACAAAACACGUAGUAAGCAUGAUGGUAUUGUAGAGCCCAUCUUAAGCAAGGAGGUCAAGUGACAGCAAAUAUGCAUUGAUGGGCAUUUUAUUCAUACAUCUGGAUCAUAGACCCUCCAUUGGUGAUUGUUGUUCCUGCUAAAUGCACAUCCACACCCCCUGAACUUGUAUCGAGCAAGAGAGAAAGUGGGAUCAGAGACCAUGCUGAGAAUCAAAUUUGUACUCGAUUGUAGAUGGAGUAUUAGGACAAGAAGCAAAUUUUUAUUCAAUGUAUUUUGUUUUAUCAUGGAGAAAUUUCAUAUUAGCUCCAUCAAAUUUAGUUUAGAUCAUGAACUGCUAUGUAGUA
Molecule: non-coding RNA, 2609 nt
Organism: Amborella trichopoda
Lineage: Eukaryota; Viridiplantae; Streptophyta; Magnoliopsida; Amborellales; Amborellaceae
Source: RefSeq, a predicted model, not a curated record